GACGAACGCUGGCGGCGUGCUUAACACAUGCAAGUCGAACGGAAAGGCCUCUUUCGGGGGGUACUCGAGUGGCGAACGGGUGAGUAACACGUGAGUAACCUGCCCUUGACUUUGGGAUAACCUCAGGAAACUGGGGCUAAUACCGGAUAGGAGCUCCUGCUGCAUGGUGGGGGUUGGAAAGUUUCGGCGGUUGGGGAUGGACUCGCGGCUUAUCAGCUUGUUGGUGGGGUAGUGGCUUACCAAGGCUUUGACGGGUAGCCGGCCUGAGAGGGUGACCGGCCACAUUGGGACUGAGAUACGGCCCAGACUCCUACGGGAGGCAGCAGUGGGGAAUAUUGCACAAUGGGUGGAAGCCUGAUGCAGCAACGCCGUGGGCGGGAUGACGGCCUUCGGGUUGUAAACCGCUUUCGCUCAUGACGAAGCUUUGUGUGACGGUAGUGGGUAAAGAAGCACCGGCUAACUACGUG
This 467-nucleotide ribosomal RNA is filed under the name uncultured bacterium. Its description in RNAcentral is "partial 16S ribosomal RNA". It matches the Rfam family "Bacterial small subunit ribosomal RNA", at positions 28 to 507 of the family's 1533-position model. The record is from RNAcentral.